CCUCCUAAAAAAACCCAAAUCGACAGCGAGACGCCAUGGCGAUUCAGUUCUAGCUAGGUCUACCUCCCGAUUCCCCUACCUUCUCGGCCGGCCGGCCGGCUUGGACUGCCGCACCACCUGCGCGCCGCCGCCGCCGUCCCCUUCCCGCGCCGCAUCCGAGAGAACCCUAGCGCCCACUGCCUCCCCGAUGGACGAGCACCAGUCCGGGGAUCUCGUCAAGGAGCUCGUCCUCCGCCUCGUCCCCGCCGACUCCGGCGGCGCGCUGCGGUUCGCGCACCGGCUGCUCUCCAGCCGCCUCGCCCCGGCCGUCCUCCCGGACGAGCACGCGCUGGCGGAGUCCGUCAAGCGCCGCCUCGCCGCCUCCGGCCGCCCCGACGACGCGCUCGCCUUCGCCGACCUCCACUCCAAGCUCUCCGCCCGGUCCCGCCCCGCCUCCCUCUGGCCGCUCCUCUACCUGCUCGACUCGCUCUCCCCCCACCGCCGCGGGGCCGCCGCCUGCCUCCCCGACCUCCCCACCGCCGCGCCGCCGAGGCAUGCCCCGCGGGCGCCCGGCACGCCCGCCGGCGGCGCGGCGCUCGUCUCCAAGGACCCGGACAACAUCCGCGAGAUCGCGCUGCGGGAGUACACCGAGCUGGUGCUCGACGAGACGGAGGUGUCGGAGGCCACGCUGGUGCGCGACGUGCUGUACGCCUGCCAGGGCAUCGACGGCCGCUACGUUCGGUACGACAAGGCCAGCGACACCUACGACCUGCCCGCCGGAGUCCGCGUGCCUGGCUCCACUCGCACCCUGGUACGCAAGCUGUGCGAGGUCGGCUGGCUGUUCCGCAAGGUGCGAGGCUUCGUUUCCGACAAUGUGAGCCGCUUGCCCUCUCAUGCCGCCACCGAGGUCGGCACUGUUGCUCAGGCCUUCUGCUCGGCUCUACAGGAGGAGCUGUCUGAUUACUAUAAGCUGCUUGCAGUUCUAGAGUCGUACUCGUUGCAUCCGAUCCCAACACCUGGGUCUGAUUCGGGUGUGUCAGGUAAUUACCUCUCACUGCGGUGUCUCGUUGUCUGGCUUGCUGAGCCUGCGGUGAAAAUGCGCUUGAUGGCUGUCUUGGUGGAUGGAUGCCGUGGCUUGAGAGGUGGUGGAAUGGCUGGUGCGAUCCAUGGGCACGCACAGCACGGGGAUCCCAUGGUUCAAGACUUUAUGGGCCGCUUGCUGCGGCGAGUCUGCUCGCCGCUGUUUGAAAUGGUCCGAAGCUGGGUGCUUGAAGGUGAAUUGGAGGAUGUAUUUGGUGAGUUCUUCAUUGUUGGGCAGCCAGUUAAGGCUGAAUCUUUGUGGCGGGAGGGCUACCUUAUUCAGUCUGAUAUGCUACCGAGUUUCAUUUCUCCGGUGCUGGCACAAAGGAUCCUCAGAACAGGGAAGUCAAUCAACUUUCUCAGAGUUUGCUGUGAUGAUAAUGGUUGGGCUGAGGCUGCCACUGAGGCUGCAGCCUAUGUUGGCACCACAACAAGUCGAGGUGGGCUUGGUUAUGGGCAGAUUGAUGCCUUGGAGGCAUUGGUGGUAGAAGCAGCCAAGAGGAUUGAUCAACGUUUGAUGGAUGUGAUCCAUAAGCGAUACCGAUUUAAAGACCAUUGUCUUGCUAUCAAGCGAUAUUUGCUUCUUGGGCAGGGUGAUUUUGUUCAGUAUCUGAUGGAUGUUGUUGGUCCAGAGUUGUCAGAACCAGCCAAUAGAAUUAGCUCCUUCCACCUUGCUGGCUUGCUUGAAACUGCAAUACGUGCGUCUGAUGCGCAAUAUGAUGACCGUGACAUCUUGGACCGGAUAAGAGUAAAGAUGAUGGAUCAUGGAGAUGGUGAUCGUGGCUGGGACGUCUUCUCCUUGGAGUAUGACGCUAGGGUCCCUCUGGACACGGUGUUCACAGCUUCAGUCAUGAAGAUGUACCUCAAGAUAUUCAACUUCCUAUGGAAGCUUAAGCAUGUUGACCAUUCUCUGACUGGAGUCUGGAAGACAAUGAAGCCUAAUUGCAUUGUUUCUUCUCCAUUCUACAAGGAAGGGACAAGCAUCAGGGCUCAGUUUGUUUCAGUUCUUCGGAAAUGCCAAGUUCUGUUCAAUGAAAUGAACCAUUUUGUGACCAACUUCCAGUACUACAUUAUGUUUGAGGUCCUGGAGGUUUCCUGGGCUCGUUUUUCAGAAGAAAUGGAUGCAGCAAAAGAUUUGGAUGAUCUUCUCAUGGGACAUGAUAAGUAUCUCACUUCAAUUGUGGAGAAGUCCCUCCUGGGUGAGAGGUCCCUGGGAAUUUUGAGAAAUCUUUUUGCUUUGUUUGACAUCAUAUUGCAGUUCCGCAGCCAUGCUGAUAGGUGGUUUGAACGGAUAUAUGAGCUGCAACUAAGGGGAAAGAGUAAACUGAAAACAAAAUCGAAGGAAACAGGUUCAUGGCUGGAGGGGGGCAGAAAAGCCAUGAUUCAACUCGCAGGGGAACUUUUUCGGAAAAUGGGUGAAGAUUUGGAUAGCAUUGCAAAAGAUUAUACAGCUUCUCUUGAUUCAUUUAUCUCCCAGUUGCCCCUGCAGCAACACGUUGAUUUAAAGUUCCUUCUCUUCCGUUUGGACUUCACUGAAUACUACAGCCGUGUUUCGUCCAACAAAUGAAAUGAGUGUGUGCUUCUAAUGUGGAAGAAAUAGGCGUUAGAUUUACUUUUUGGUUGGGGAUUUGAAUUUGUAUUCGGAAGCUGCUUCACUAAGGACUGCUGCCACAGAGAACAGCAGAAAAUUCGCGCAAAAUUCAACAACAUUGUGAAGGCGGUGCGUCUAAGUUAGAAGUCAUCAAUAAAGCAGGCAUCUUUUCAAAUAUAUCUGUAGUUCAACACCUACAUGGAUAGCGUCGACCCUUUCCUCGAGCGAGUGGAGGAGGCUGGCAGGCAACUGGCAGGGGAUGGCGCUUCUCCUCCAGAUCCAUCUGCCGCCGUCACAACAAAAACCACGUCCAGAGCCAGUGCAAUGAGCAAGAAGUCUGAGGGCUAGGAAAAGGACAUGAGCUGUGGUUCUUACCACUUUACCAGCGCAUGGAUGGGAAACCCAGUACAUAUCUCUGUUUAUGUGGGCAUGAUGAUGUAGUAGUGCCUCUAGCUGCUAUUUAUGUGCUGAAUUAUGCAUGCGCUGGUUGGCUCGGCUCGGGGCUAGUUAUCGAUCGAGGUAACUGAAUACUACGUGCUGAUGUUAUCUUCUAUAUAUAUGUAAAUAUGCACUGCAUUUCUGACACACUUUCAUUUUUGCUUUGGUUGUGACUUGUCAUCAGAUAAGAUGGCUUUGUCGUCUUACUGAUACAAUUGAGCAUGACACUCUUCUU
RNA transcript from Triticum dicoccoides, 3323 nucleotides. It is a transcript of the gene named gamma-tubulin complex component 3-like, with no coding region annotated. The record is from RefSeq and is a predicted model, not a curated record. The transcript is spliced from 4 exons. NCBI's taxonomy places the organism in Eukaryota, Viridiplantae, Streptophyta, Magnoliopsida, Poales, Poaceae.